Molecule: unclassified non-coding RNA, 537 nt
Filed under: Hevea brasiliensis (rubber tree)
Lineage: Eukaryota; Viridiplantae; Streptophyta; Magnoliopsida; Malpighiales; Euphorbiaceae
Source: RNAcentral
UGAACAACCACAAGUUUCAGAUGGAGAAAGCUUUUCUUCAACAACAACAACAACUACAACUACAACAAUUGAAAGGCUCCAACAACACCACAAGCAAAGGAGGAGGUAAUAUCAACAAUAUGCAUAGUCUUAUGGUUCCUCCUAAAGAUAAGAAAUCUGUUAAGUUCAAUUUGCCUGAGGAAGAUUCUGAUUUUAGUGGUGAUGAGUUUGAUGAUGAGUUUGAUGAUGAUUUCGAUGAUGAUGAUGAUGAGUUUGAUGAUGAAGAUGAUGAGUUUAGCCAUGGACAUGGACAUGGACAUGGGCAUGGCUUACCUAACAAUAUGAUGCCCAUGAUGGGCAAAAAAGGAGGGUCAUUUGGUCCCAAUGACCCCAAUGGAAUGAUUAAUUUCAAUGCUAUGAAUGGUAAGAAAGGUGGGGAUGGAGUAGGUACUGCCAAGAAAGGUGAAGUUAUUGACUUCCCUGUUAUGAUGAAGGGAAAGGGAGGAGGAGGAGGUAAUGAGGGUAAAACCAGCAAGGGAGGAGGGAAGAAAGACGGUA